UACUUUCGGGUAACUGAGACCGGCGUACGGGUGCGUAACGCGUAUACAAUCUGCCUUUCACUGGGGGAUAGCCCGAAGAAAUUUGGAUUAAUACCCCAUAGUAUAGUAAUACGGCAUCGUGAUGCUAUUAAAGCUUAGGUGGUGAAAGAUGAGUAUGCGUUCUAUUAGCUAGUUGGAGAGGUAACGGCUCCCCAAGGCGAUGAUAGAUAGGGGUUCUGAGAGGGAUGUCCCCCACACUGGUACUGGGAUACGGACCAGACUCCUACGGGAGGCAGCAGUGAGGAAUAUUGGACAAUGGUCGGAAGACUGAUCCAGCCAUGCCGCGUGCAGGAUGAAGGUCUUAUGGAUUGUAAACUGCUUUUGUAAGGGAAGAAUAAGGGCUACGCGUAGUUUGAUGACGGUACCUUACGAAUAAGCAUCGGCUAACUCCGUGCCAGCAGCCGCGGUAAUACGGAGGAUGCGAGCGUUAUCCGGAAUCAUUGGGUUUAAAGGGUCUGUAGGCGGGCUUGUAAGUCAGAGGUGAAAGCGCUUAGCUCAACUAAGCAACUGCCUUUGAAACUGUUGGUCUUGGAUGGUUGUGAAGUAGUUGGAAUGUGUAGUGUAGCGGUGAAAUGCUUAGAUAUUACACAGAACACCGAUAGCGAAGGCAUAUUACUAACAAUUAAUUGACGCUGAUGGACGAAAGCGUGGGGAGCGAACAGGAUUAGAUACCCUGGUAGUCCACGCUGUAAACGAUGGAUACUAGCUGUUUGGUUUAAGGAUUGAGUGGCU
Molecule: ribosomal RNA, 771 nt
Filed under: uncultured Bacteroidota bacterium
Lineage: Bacteria; Pseudomonadati; Bacteroidota
Description: bacterial SSU rRNA
Rfam family: Bacterial small subunit ribosomal RNA
Source: RNAcentral